RNAcentral lists this ribosomal RNA (252 nucleotides) under uncultured bacterium. RNAcentral's name for it is "partial 16S ribosomal RNA". It matches the Rfam family "Archaeal small subunit ribosomal RNA", at positions 474 to 727 of the family's 1478-position model. The record is from RNAcentral.
UACCAGCACCCCGAGUGGUCGGGACGUUUAUUGGGCCUAAAGCAUCCGUAGCCGGUUCUACAAGUCUUCCGUUAAAUCCAGCUGCUUAACAGAUGGGCUGCGGAAGAUACUAUGGAGCUAGGAGGCGGGAGAGGCAAGCGGUACUCGAUGGGUAGGGGUAAAAUCCGUUGAUCCAUUGAAGACCACCAGUGGCGAAGGCGGCUGCCAGAACGCGCUCGACGGUGAGGGAUGAAAGCUGGGGGAGCAACCGGG